GGGAAAAUAGCUCAGCGGUAGAGCGGAUGUCUUGCACGCAUCAGGUCUCAGGUUCGAAUCCUGGUUUUUCCA
Molecule: transfer RNA, 72 nt
Filed under: Lotharella vacuolata
Lineage: Eukaryota; Cercozoa; Chlorarachniophyceae
Description: tRNA-Ala
Rfam family: tRNA
About the family: Transfer RNA (tRNA) molecules are approximately 80 nucleotides in length. Their secondary structure includes four short double-helical elements and three loops (D, anti-codon, and T loops).
Source: RNAcentral